GCGGAGGAAAAGAAACCAACAGGGAUUGCCCUAGUAACGGCGAGUGAAGCGGCAAUAGCUCAAAUUUGAAAGCUGGCCUUUGGUCCGCAUUGUAAUUUGUAGAGGAUGCUUUUAGGCAGCCGCCGGUCUAAGUUCCUUGGAACAGGACGUCAUAGAGGGUGAGAAUCCCGUAUGUGACCGGCUCAGGCACCUUCUGUAAAGCUCCUUCGACGAGUCGAGUUGUUUGGGAAUGCAGCUCUAAAUGGGAGGUAAAUUUCUUCUAAAGCUAAAUACUGGCGAGAGACCGAUAGCGCACAAGUAGAGUGAUCGAAAGAUGAAAAGUACUUUGGAAAGAGAGUUAAAAAGCACGUGAAAUUGUUGAAAGGGAAGCGCUUGCAAUCAGACUUGGCCUCGGUUGUUCAACCGGUCUUUUGACCGGCCUAUUCAAUCGGGGGCAGGCCAGCAUCAGUUUCGGCGGCCGGAUAAAGGCCUUGGGAAUGUGGCCUCUCCUUCGGGGGAGGUGUUAUAGCCCAGGGUGUAAUACGGUCAGCUGGGACUGAGGUCCGCGCUUCGGCUAGGAUGCUGGCGUAAUGGUUGUAAGCGGCCCGU
This 588-nucleotide ribosomal RNA is filed under the name Dothichiza pithyophila. RNAcentral's name for it is "eukaryotic LSU rRNA". It matches the Rfam family "Eukaryotic large subunit ribosomal RNA", at positions 50 to 652 of the family's 3401-position model. The record is from RNAcentral. Lineage: Eukaryota; Fungi; Ascomycota; Dothideomycetes; Dothideales; Dothioraceae.